ACCCACACCAACCAGCUCUCUGACCGACUCUCUCAGGGGGCCCCCGCAUGUUGUCUCUCUCCCCCUUUUAUAGUUCUCUCCCACCAAUCCGUGCUCUGCCAGCGUUCUCUCUCCACACGCUGAGCCUCCCAUCAGAGGCUGAAUCAGGAAUCAGCCAAUCGACAAAGCAGCUGUGUAAGAUUGGUUUACUCCCUCUCAGCGCCAUAUGGUGGGAGAUCAGACGCAUAGAGUUAGUUUCAGUCCACAGUCUCAGUACUUAUUUGUCUCCUGGGCGCCCCGCCAUGUUGCGGGAGAGGGACCCUGUUCCCCACAAGCAUCCUGCCCACAGUGCUGAGAAUCAAGUGCCUGUGCCUUGCUGAUAAGCAGCAGUGCACGGGGCCAGGUCACCAAGUACAGGGGCUGCUGCCUUAGGUGGAGUAGUGGAGGCCAGGGGGUUGAAGAUCUAAGCAACCUCUCCCAUCUGAGAGCCCUCACGAGGGUUCUCACAGGAGCCUUGGCACGCUCUGUUCUUGGGCACCUGCUACCUAGAGGACAAGAGGGCCAGCUUGUACCAGUUUGCUAGUAUCAUGCAGCGACCUGCCAGAGAGAUGAAGAGGGCUUCGGAAUUUGUAGAAGAUGGAGUUAAAAUUGCGAGUGUUUCGAGGCCGGCGCCGUGGCUCACUUGGUUAAUCCUCCACCUGUGGCACCGGCAUCCCAUAUGGGCGCCGGGUUCUAAUCCCAGUUGCUCCUCUUCCAGUCCAUCUCUCUGCUGUGGCCCAGGAGGGCAGUGGAGGAUGGCCCAGGUGCUUGGGCCCCUGCACCUGCAUGGGAGACCAGGAGGAAGCACCUGGCUCCUGGCUUUGGAUCGGCUCAGCGCCGGUCGUGGCAGCCAUUUUGGGAGUGAACCAAUGGAAGGAAGACCUUUCUCUCUGUCUCUCUCUCACUGUCUAUAACUCUACCUGUCAAAUAAAAAAAAUAUAUUGCAAGUGUU
Non-coding RNA from Oryctolagus cuniculus (rabbit), 970 nucleotides. NCBI's taxonomy places the organism in Eukaryota, Metazoa, Chordata, Mammalia, Lagomorpha, Leporidae. The record is from RefSeq and is a predicted model, not a curated record.